GGGUUGUUAGCUCAGCGGUAGAGCGCCGCCUUCACACGGCGGAGGUCAGUGGUUCGAAACCACUACGACCCACCA
RNAcentral lists this transfer RNA (75 nucleotides) under Acidithiobacillus ferrianus. RNAcentral describes it as "tRNA-Val". It matches the Rfam family "tRNA". From Rfam's summary of the family: Transfer RNA (tRNA) molecules are approximately 80 nucleotides in length. Their secondary structure includes four short double-helical elements and three loops (D, anti-codon, and T loops). Further hydrogen bonds mediate the characteristic L-shaped molecular structure. tRNAs have two regions of fundamental functional importance: the anti-codon, which is responsible for specific mRNA codon recognition, and the 3' end, to which the tRNAs corresponding amino acid is attached (by aminoacyl-tRNA synthetases). tRNAs cope with the degeneracy of the genetic code in two manners: having more than one tRNA (with a specific anti-codon) for a particular amino acid; and 'wobble' base-pairing, i.e. permitting non-standard base-pairing at the 3rd anti-codon position. The record is from RNAcentral. Lineage: Bacteria; Pseudomonadati; Pseudomonadota; Acidithiobacillia; Acidithiobacillales; Acidithiobacillaceae.